This 978-nucleotide small RNA is filed under the name Pan troglodytes (chimpanzee). RNAcentral describes it as "processed transcript". The record is from RNAcentral. Lineage: Eukaryota; Metazoa; Chordata; Mammalia; Primates; Hominidae.
GAAUCCUCCAUAGUCUGGUGAGUGCGGUGUCCAACUCUGGAGCCCAGACUGUUGCUUCCCAGUCUGGUGGUGAAUCCUCCAUAGUCUGUUUUGUCAGCCUGGCGGGUGGCAGCUGUCCAGAGAGAGGAAGCAGCCAACGUUCUUUGUGGUUGUCCUGACAGAUAUUGACUCAGAUCGACAUUACUGCUCAUGCCUAACCUUCUAUGAGGCAGAGAUCAAUCUUCAGGGAACAAAGAAGGAAGAGAUUGAAGGUGGAGCAGAAGUGUCUGGUUUAAUUCAGCCUGCGGAAGUGUUUGCUCCCAAAAGCCUGGUGUUGGUAUCCAGAUUAUAUUAUCCAGAAAUUUUUAGGGCUUGCCUGGGUUUGAUCUAUACCGUGUAUGUGGACAGCCUGAAUGUCUCCUUGGAAAGUCUAAUUGCAAACCUUUGUGCCUGCCUUGUCCCAGCGGCUGGAGGGUCUCAGAAGCUGUUUUCUUUGGGUGCAGGAGAUAGACAGUUGAUCCAGACUCCUUUACAUGAUAGUCUUCCUGUCACGGGCACUAGUGUGGCUCUCCUGUUCCAGCAAUUGGGAAUUCAAAAUGUCCUCAGCCUCUUUUGUGCAGUCCUCACAGAAAAUAAGGUUCUCUUCCAUUCUGCAAGUUUCCAGAGACUUAGUGAUGCUUGUAGAGCCCUGGAAUCUUUAAUGUUUCCUCUUAAAUAUAGUUAUCCUUAUAUCCCUAUUCUCCCGGCUCAGCUACUGGAAGUUCUAAGUUCCCCAACACCUUUCAUUAUUGGAGUACAUUCUGUCUUUAAAACUGAUAUCCAUGAACUUAUUUUACACCCAGAUUUGGAAGUAGCAGAUCAUGCUUUUCCUCCUCCACGAACAGCUUUAUCCCACUCAAAAAUGCUGGAUAAAGAGGUGCGAGCCGUUUUCCUUAGAUUAUUUGCACAACUCUUCCAAGGAUAUAGAUCCUGCCUGCAACUUAUAAGAAUUCAUGCAGA